RNAcentral lists this long non-coding RNA (727 nucleotides) under Rattus norvegicus (Norway rat). Its description in RNAcentral is "long non-coding RNA NONRATT015311". The record is from RNAcentral. Lineage: Eukaryota; Metazoa; Chordata; Mammalia; Rodentia; Muridae.
UCUGAAGGCGGCCGGAGCGGCUGUCUCAAUUAAGAUGAGGCUCUUGCUGCUUCUGCUGGUGGCGGCGUCGGCGGUGGUCCGCAGCGAGGCCUCUGCCAACCUGGGCGGCGUGCCCAGCAAGAGAUUAAAGAUGCAGUACGCCACGGGGCCGCUGCUCAAGUUUCAGAUUUGGUGAGUACGCGCGUCGACCCCCGGCCGCCGGGUCCGGGCUGUGCGCUACCCGAGGCCCCGGCUUCGCGGCCUAGGUGGUUGCUGCUUGCUUGGCUGAGAGCGCGAAGCCGGCUCCUUCCACACGGGCGGCUCGGGGUCCGGACGCUUCGGCGGGCCUCCGCUUCCCUUGGGGCGCUGGCCCCGGGCCUCGGCUCUCUCUGGAGUGCUGGCGUGGAGUGGCCGGCCUUUCUCAGGCGGGGUUCCUCAUCGCUGUGCGCCGGCGGCCGAACCGGGCCGGGCGGCAGCACUGCGAGGACGCGAGGUGGAGCCCGCCGCUCCUAGAAACCGCAGCUCCGCUAGGUUUCCGCGGCACCGGCACGCUUCCCGGACAGCUUUCCCCCUUUAAAGGUCUUGUUUAUUCAUAGAAAAAGGAAGGGAGCCCGUCAGUUUUCGAUGUGUUAGUAAUCGACUUUGCUGUUGAUUGGUUGAACAUUAAAAGUAGGACAGGGAUCCAUUUUAUUAAGGCAGCAGGGGUUGAGGCAGCUUUUAAAAAGCUCCGAUUCAAAAAAAAAAAAAA